This 253-nucleotide ribosomal RNA is filed under the name uncultured bacterium. RNAcentral's name for it is "partial 16S ribosomal RNA". It matches the Rfam family "Bacterial small subunit ribosomal RNA", at positions 524 to 776 of the family's 1533-position model. The record is from RNAcentral.
UACGUAGGGUGCAAGCGUUGUUCGGAUUCAUUGGGCGUAAAGGGUGCGUAGGUGGCGCGCUAAGUCAGGUGUGAAAUCUCGGGGCUUAACUCCGAAACUGCAUUUGAUACUGGCGUGCUUGAGGACUGGAGAGGAGACUGGAAUUCAUGGUGUAGCAGUGAAAUGCGUAGAGAUCAUGAGGAAGACCAGUGGCGAAGGCGGGUCUCUGGACAGUUCCUGACACUGAGGCACGAAGGCCAGGGGAGCAAACGGG